AAUUGGAGGGCAAGUCUGGUGCCAGCAGCCGCGGUAAUUCCAGCUCCAAUAGCGUAUAUUAAAGUUGUUGCAGUUAAAAAGCUCGUAGUUGAAUUUCGGGAUUUGUCAGUUGGUCGGGCUUCACUGUCCGUACUGAUUCGAUGGAUUCUUACCUUCUGAAUAACCAGCAUGCUAUUUAGUUAGUGCGUUGGGGAAGCAGAUCUAUUACCUUGAAAAAAUUAGAGUGCUUAAAGCGGGCUAGUGCUUGAAUAGAUUAGCAUGGAAUAAUAAAAUAGGACGGCAUGGUUCUAUUUUGUUGGUUUCUAGGAUCACCGUAAUGAUUAAUAGGGAUAGUUGGGGGCAUUAGUAUUCAAUUGUCAGAGGUGAAAUUCUUGGAUUUAUUGAAGACUAACUACUGCGAAAGCAUUUGCCAAGGAUGUUUUCAUUAAUCAAGAACGAAAGUUAGGGGAUCGAAGACGAUCAGAUACCGUCGUAGUCUUAACCAUAAACUAUGCCGACUAGGGAUCGGAUGAUGUUAAUUUUUUAAUGACUCAUUCGGCGCCUUACGGGAAACCAAAGUGU
This 561-nucleotide ribosomal RNA is filed under the name uncultured Glomeromycotina. Its description in RNAcentral is "SSU rRNA". It matches the Rfam family "Eukaryotic small subunit ribosomal RNA", at positions 546 to 1106 of the family's 1831-position model. Lineage: Eukaryota; Fungi; Glomeromycota. The record is from RNAcentral.